AGAGUGAACGCUGGCGGCAGGCCUAACACAUGCAUGUCGAACGGCAGCACAGAGGAGCUUGCUCCUUGGGUGGCGAGUGGCGGACGGGUGAGGAAUACAUCGGAAUCUGCCUUAUCGUGGGGGAUAACGUAGGGAAACUUACGCUAAUACCGCAUACGACCUACGGGUGAAAGCGGAGGACCUUCGGGCUUCGCGCGAUAAGAUGAGCCGAUGUCGGAUUAGCUAGUUGGCGGGGUAAAGCCCACAAGGCUACGACCCGUAGCUGGUCUGAGAGGAUGAUCAGCCACACUGGAACUGAGACACGGUCCAGACUCCUACGGGAGCAGCAGUGGGGAAUAUUGGACAAGUGGGCGCAAGCCUGAUCCAGCCAGUGCCGCGUGUGUGAAGAAGGCCUUGGUGUAAGCUACUUUGACGGAAGAAAGCAC
This 425-nucleotide ribosomal RNA is filed under the name uncultured soil bacterium. RNAcentral's name for it is "bacterial SSU rRNA". It matches the Rfam family "Bacterial small subunit ribosomal RNA", at positions 26 to 451 of the family's 1533-position model. The record is from RNAcentral.